Molecule: RNA transcript, 3791 nt
Organism: Homo sapiens (human)
Lineage: Eukaryota; Metazoa; Chordata; Mammalia; Primates; Hominidae
Gene: BMS1P2-AGAP9
Gene name: BMS1P2-AGAP9 readthrough
Exons: 16
Source: RefSeq, marked validated
AAGGAGUCGCAGUUGUGAACAGGUUUGGUGCCGCGGGCUGGGGUAGGCGGCGGUUGGGUCCGUGGCUCUGGGGCACUGGGAAGAUCGCGAGUCGUGCGCAUGGGAAGGUCCUCCCCCGGUCCUCCGGGUCAUCUUUGCUCCCGAGGAGCGGCAUAUUUCGCAUCUGCCUGAGGUUAGAGUUACUUGUUAUUGGUAAAUAGCCACUAUGGAGACUAAGGACCAGAAGAAACACAGAAAGAAAAACGGUGGACCCAAAGCUGCAAAGAAAAAGAAGUGGCAUCUGCAGGAUCUCCAGCUAGGAGACUAAGAAAAUGCCCAGAAGAGAAAUGCCAAUGCUUUUGCAGUUCAGUCUGCUGUGUGGAUGUCUCGAUCCUUUCACAGGACUCUGGAUUUGAAGACACAAAAGCAUCAUAUUCCAGUGGUUGAUGGAACUCCACUAGAGCCGCCACCAAUACCGGUAGUGGUGACGGGGCCUCCAAAGUUGGAAAGAGCACUUUGAUAUAAUGCCUCAUUCGGAACUUCACCUGGCAGAAGUUCACCGAGAUCAGAGGCCCUGUGACGAUCGUGUCAGGUAAAAAGCGCAGACUCACCAUUAUUGAAUGUGGGUGUGACAUUAACAUGAUGAUUGAUCUGGCUAAAGUAGCAGAUCUGGUACUGAUGCUUAUAGAUGCCAGCUUUGGGUUUGAAAUGGAAAUGUUUGAGUUUCUAAACAUCUGUCAAGCACAUGGCUUUCCUAAAAUUCUGGGAGUUCUCACCCACCUCGACUCCUUCAAGCAUAACAAGCAACUGAAGAAGACAAAGAAGCGAUUAAAACACAGGUUCUGGACAGAAGUUUACCAGGUUGCCAAACUGUUCUACCUUUCUGGAAUGGUGCAUGGAGAAUAUCAAAACCAAGAAAUCCACAAUCUGGGCCAUUUUAUUACAGUUAUGAAGUUUAGGCCUCUCAUGGCAAACUUUUCACCCUUAUAUCCUGGCAGACAGGAUGGAAGAUUUGACAAACCCGGAGGAUAUCCAAACAAACAUCAAAUGUGACCGGCAGGUGUCACUUUAUGGUUAUUUAAGAGGAGCACACUUCAAAGAUAAAAGCCAAAUUCACAUGCCAGGACAAGGUGGGGCUCACCCAUGAGCUGGUCCAGAGUCUCAUCUCCACCUACUCCACCAUUGAUGCCAAGAUGGCUUCAAGUCGAGUGACGCUGCUUUCCAAUUCCAAACCACUUGGGUCAGAGGCUAUAGAUAAUCAAGGCGUCAGCCUCGAGUUUGACCAGCAGCAGGGGUCGGUGUGUCCCUCUGAAUCUGAGAUCUAUGAGGCAGGAGCUGAGGACAGGAUGGCAGGAGCGCCCAUGGCUGCUGCUGUACAGCCUGCUGAGGUGACUGUUGAAGUUGGUGAGGACCUCCACAUGCACCAGGUUCGUGACCGGGAGAUGCCUGAAGCUUUGGAGUUUAACCUUUCUGCCAAUCCAGAGGCAAGCACAAUAUUCCAGAGGAACUCUCAAACAGAUGCUUUGGAGUUUAACUCUUCUGCCAAUCCAGAGGCAAGCACAAUAUUCCAGAGGAACUCUCAAACAGAUGUUGUAGAAAUAAGAAGAAGCAACUGUACAAACCAUGUAUCUACUGAGCGUUUCAGUCAACAAUACAGCUCGUGUUCGACAAUAUUCCUUGAUGACAGCACAGCCAUCCAGCAUUAUCUUACAAUGACAAUAAUAUCUGUGACCUUGGAGAUACCUCAUCAUAUCACACAAAGAGAUGCAGAUAGAUCUUUGAGCAUACCUGAUGAACAGUUACACUCAUUUGCGGGUUUCACCAUGUUGGCCAGGAUGGUCUUGAACUCCUGACCUCGUGAUCCACCCACCUUGGCCUCCCAAAGUGCUGUGAUUACAGGUGUGAGCCACCAUGCCUGGCCCAGAAAAUGUAUCUUUUUAAAAGGUAAUUGUGAGCUGUCUAUAGGAUCCUGCAAGCCACUACCCAAUUUUUGAAGCCAUUCCUCCUCCUGUUCCACACAGGUUUCCACCGUGCACAUUAUGAAGAAAAGAAAUGGAGGUGGGAGUUUAAAUAACUAUUCCUCCUCCAUUCCACCGACUCCCAGCACCAGCCAGGAGGACCCUCAGUUCAGUGUUCCUCCCACUGCCAACACACCCACCCCCGUUUGCAAGCGGUCCAUGCGCUGGUCCAACCUGUUUACAUCUGAGAAAGGGAGUGACCCAGACAAAGAGAGGAAAGCCCCGGAGAAUCAUGCUGACACCAUCGGGAGCGGCAGAGCCAUCCCCAUUAAACAGGGCAUGCUCUUAAAGCGAAGUGGAAAAUGGCUGAAGACAUGGAAAAAGAAAUACGUCACCCUGUGUUCCAAUGGCGUGCUCACCUAUUAUUCAAGCUUAGGUGAUUAUAUGAAGAAUAUUCAUAAAAAAGAGAUUGACCUUCGGACAUCUACCAUCAAAGUCCCAGGAAAGUGGCCAUCCCUAGCCACAUCAGCCUGUGCACCCAUCUCCAGCUCUAAAAGCAAUGGCCUAUCCAAGGACAUGGACACCGGGCUGGGUGACUCCAUAUGCUUCAGCCCCGGUAUCUCCAGCACCACCAGCCCCAAGCUCAACCCGCCCCCCUCUCCUCAUGCCAAUAAAAAGAAACACCUAAAGAAGAAAAGCACCAACAACUUUAUGAUUGUGUCUGCCACUGGCCAAACGUGGCACUUUGAAGCCACGACGUAUGAGGAGCGGGAUGCCUGGGUCCAAGCCAUCCAGAGCCAGAUCCUGGCCAGCCUGCAGUCAUGCAAGAGCAGUAAAAGCAAGUCCCAGCUGACCAGCCAGAGUGAGGCCAUGGCCCUGCAGUCGAUCCAAAACAUGCGUGGGAACGCCCACUGUGUGGACUGUGAGACCCAGAAUCCUAAGUGGGCCAGUUUGAACUUGGGAGUCCUCAUGUGUAUUGAAUGCUCAGGUAUCCACCGCAGUUUUGGCACCCGCCUUUCCCGUGUGCGAUCUCUGGAGCUGGAUGACUGGCCAGUUGAGCUCAGGAAGGUUAUGUCAUCUAUUGGCAAUGAGCUAGCCAACAGCAUCUGGGAAGGGAGCAGCCAGGGGCAGACAAAACCCUCAAUAAAGUCCACGAGGGAAGAGAAGGAAUGGUGGAUCCGUUCCAAAUAUGAGGAGAAGCUCUUUCUGGCCCCACUACCCUGCACUGAGCUGUCCCUGGGCCAGCAGCUGCUGCGGGCCACCACUGAUGAGGACCUGCAGACAGCCAUCCUGCUGCUGGCACAUGGCUCCCGUGAGGAGGUGAACGAGACCUGUGGGGAGGGAGACGGCUGCACGGCACUCCAUCUGGCCUGCCGCAAGGGGAAUGUGGUCCUGGAGCAGCUCCUGACGGGGUGGACGUCAUGGCCCGAGAUGCCCACGGGAACACAGCGCUGACCUACGCCCGGCAGGCCUCCAGCCAGGAGUGCAUCAACGUGCUUCUGCAGUACGGCUGCCCCGACGAGUGCGUGUAGUAUCUGUUUUAUUUGACUGCAGUCUCCUUGGUGCAAAAACAAAAUGGGAAAAAUAAGGAUAACUCAGAAUUUCAAAAGGAAAUCACAAAUUCAGCUAGUAAUAGCAUUUUCAGUACUUUUCGUAAACUAAGUAAAUACACAAAAUGUUGAUUUUUCUGACCAUAAGACAUAUUUUAUGUCCUUUUGCCAAGGUGGAUGUGUUAGUCUCAGGCCCUCCUGGCCACAUUGCCCAAGUCACACAGGCUUCUGUAUUAUGUAUUUAGAUAAAAUGUGUGAAAAUAUAUUUGAAAAAAAAUUUCAUAAAUGUGCAUUGAUUUUUGUA